Long non-coding RNA from Momordica charantia (bitter melon), 1024 nucleotides. RefSeq lists it as uncharacterized. The record is from RefSeq and is a predicted model, not a curated record. Lineage: Eukaryota; Viridiplantae; Streptophyta; Magnoliopsida; Cucurbitales; Cucurbitaceae.
UCACUUAAUAAAAUUUUCUUGUUUUAAUUUUUAAUUCACUUUCCCUCAUGUUACCAACUGCCCCACUGGCCACUCUCUCUUCUCGUUACUCAUUACGCCAAUCUCCUCUCCUCUCCUCGGCGGCGCAACAUCCACCCAAUCCAGCAAACCCGACGGCGAUUGAGACUCAGUCCGGCGACACCCACGCCGGCGACAACGACGACGAAUAGCCAACGACCAUCUACGAACAGCGUUUUGUAAGUCUUGGGGCAGUUUUCAUCAGCUUCAAAAAAAGCAGACUUAGCAGUUUCAUCACCAACAAGAAUACACCUCCUCCUCUGUUGACUCACACACAUUGGACUUUGACAUGGUCGAUGUAUGGGCGAUGAGAAAGGGGUUGUUCUGAAGCAUAUGUACUCCUUGUACAUCUUGGUUGUAAAAAAUGAUUGGAACGGUAGGCAUUUUAGAGUACGAGAUAUGUACUCUGUGCCUUGCCUCUCUGACCAAGGCCUUCCGUUUAUGGAACUGUGCUUCGAGAGAAAUUUUGUGGAAUCUUUGGCUUGAAAAAGAUCUCAUUUGAAGAUUAUAGAGGACAGUGAUGUUCGCAUGGGAGAUGAUGGAAUUCAAGAGCUUACAGAGAUGGUGGAGCAGGUGUUUCCUCCGCCUCAAACUCAACCAAAGUAAGGCAAAGAGGCCGAAGGCAUGGAGGAACAGGAAGUCGGAGAGCCUGCCGAUGGAGAACCAAUGGAAGAAACUACUUGAACCCAGUUCGAAAAUUAGAUGAUAUAUCGGUACAUAACAAUUCUCAGCGUUCAGAAGAGCUUUCACAAAGGACUUGGUUCUGUUCUGCAUCCUUCAAGCAUUAAGUACUCAUAAUGUGCAGAUAUGGGUUUUGAGAUGCAAGAUGAAACUGAGAGUGACAGUUCCCAAAAAAAAUAAAAUGGGAAAUCAAAGUCAAAGAGAGCUUUUGGGUGUUAAAGUUAAACAAUGGAAAUAGCUAGGCUUCUUUCUAAAUGUAAUCUAAUAUUUUUAGGUAGGGAAGAAA